ACUCAUACCUUACAAGGGAAAUACCAUGGUCAUGAAAGUGGUUUUCCCAGGGUGAGGCUAAUCCAUUGCACUUCAGGUGUGCUGAUCCCUGUGAUUUCCCCAAAUGUGAGGAACUCAACUGCAUAUUUUGUGGUAGUGGGGGAUUGCAUUUGUGCUUUCCCUGG
This 164-nucleotide small nuclear RNA is filed under the name Pogona vitticeps (central bearded dragon). RNAcentral describes it as "U1 spliceosomal RNA (ENSPVIG00000013717.1)". It matches the Rfam family "U1 spliceosomal RNA". Rfam says of the family: U1 is a small nuclear RNA (snRNA) component of the spliceosome (involved in pre-mRNA splicing). Its 5' end forms complementary base pairs with the 5' splice junction, thus defining the 5' donor site of an intron. There are significant differences in sequence and secondary structure between metazoan and yeast U1 snRNAs, the latter being much longer (568 nucleotides as compared to 164 nucleotides in human). Lineage: Eukaryota; Metazoa; Chordata; Lepidosauria; Squamata; Agamidae. The record is from Rfam by way of RNAcentral.